This 505-nucleotide ribosomal RNA is filed under the name uncultured bacterium. RNAcentral describes it as "partial 16S ribosomal RNA". It matches the Rfam family "Bacterial small subunit ribosomal RNA", at positions 28 to 507 of the family's 1533-position model. The record is from RNAcentral.
GACGAACGUUGGAGGCGUGCCUAAUACAUGCAAGUAGAACGCACAGUUUAUACCGUAGCUUGCUACACCAUAAACUGUGAGUUGCGAACGGGUGAGUAACGCGUAGGUAACCUGCCUGGUAGCGGGGGAUAACUAUUGGAAACGAUAGCUAAUACCGCAUAAUAUUGAUUAUUGCAUGAUAAUUGAUUGAAAGAUGCUAUUGCAUCACUACCAGAUGGACCUGCGUUGUAUUAGCUAGUAGGUGAGGUAACGGCUCACCUAGGCGACGAUACAUAGCCGACCUGAGAGGGUGAUCGGCCACACUGGGACUGAGACACGGCCCAGACUCCUACGGGAGGCAGCAGUAGGGAAGCUUCGGCAAUGGACGAAAGUCUGACCGAGCAACGCCGCGUGAGUGAAGAAGGUUUUCGGAUCGUAAAGCUCUGUUGUAAGAGAAGAACGGGUGUGAGAGUGGAAAGUUCACACUGUGACGGUAUCUUACCAGAAAGGGACGGCUAACUACGUG